GAGUUUGAUACUGGCUCAGAUUGAACGCUAGCGGCAUGCUUAACACAUGCAAGUCGAACGGUAACAGGCGGAGCUUGCUCUGCGCUGACGAGUGGCGGACGGGUGAGUAAUGCUUAGGAAUCUGCCCAGUAGCGGGGGAUAGCUCGGAGAAAUCCGAAUUAAUACCGCAUACGCCCUACGGGGGAAA
This 187-nucleotide ribosomal RNA is filed under the name Oxyrrhis marina. RNAcentral's name for it is "partial Bacterial small subunit ribosomal RNA". It matches the Rfam family "Bacterial small subunit ribosomal RNA", at positions 9 to 191 of the family's 1533-position model. The record is from RNAcentral. Lineage: Eukaryota; Dinophyceae; Oxyrrhinales; Oxyrrhinaceae.